AUUGAACGCUGGCGGAAUGCUUUACACAUGCAAGUCGACCGGCAGCACGGACUUCGGUCUGGUGGCGAGUGGCGAACGGGUGAGUAAUGUAUCGGAGCGUGCCCAGUCGUGGGGGAUAACGUAGUGAAAAUUACGCUAAUACCGCAUACGAUCUAUGGAUGAAAGCGGGGGAUCGCAAGACAUCGCGCGAUUGGAGCGGCCGAUAUCAGAUUAGGUAGUUUGUGGGGUAAAGGCCCACCAAGCCAACGAUCUGUAGCUGGUCUGAGAGGACGACCAGCCACACUGGAACUGAGACACGGUCCAGACUCCUACGGGAGGCAGCAGUGGGGAAUUUUGGACAAUGGGCGAAAGCCUGAUCCAGUCGUUCCGCGUGCAGGAUGAAGGCCCUCGGGUUGUAAACUGCUUUUGUACAGAACGAAAAGGUUUCUACUAAUACUAGGAGCUCAUGACGGUACUGUAAGAAUAAGCACCGGCUAACUACGUGCCAGCCGCCGCGGUAA
RNAcentral lists this ribosomal RNA (500 nucleotides) under uncultured bacterium. RNAcentral describes it as "partial 16S ribosomal RNA". It matches the Rfam family "Bacterial small subunit ribosomal RNA", at positions 30 to 523 of the family's 1533-position model. The record is from RNAcentral.